Molecule: long non-coding RNA, 6716 nt
Filed under: Lactuca sativa (garden lettuce)
Lineage: Eukaryota; Viridiplantae; Streptophyta; Magnoliopsida; Asterales; Asteraceae
Description: long non-coding RNA (LSAT_LNC004227)
Source: RNAcentral
GUUUUUGCACAUUUUUCGAGAAAAUUCGUAUGAAUAGUGAAAUGCCACGUCACCCUCGUAUGCGAGGCUUCCACGUGUCGGACAGGUGUUCGCUUCUGAUUGGACCGCAGCCUUGCGUGUUGCCUUCUGAUUGGACCAAGCCCGAGGACCACUAAGCUCGGAACACCUUCGCAGGAGACACCCCUUGAUCACCCUCGCAUGCGCAACCCACCUGCGCACCGUCAGCGAGCCGAAGACCGAGCCGAUGACGCGCCAUCCUCGCUGUCCGAACCGAGCCUCGCUGGAGCCCUGCGCAGCUGCCGUGUGUCUUCGCUGAGUCACCCUUCUCGGCCGACCCUCGCAUCUGCUGCCGCGUGCAGCCUUCUCAGCCCUCAGAUCCGAGCCUCUCCCCUAUAAAUAGAGGGCCAGCGAGACCUCUCGGGUAGUAUGAGAAAUUUAGCAAUUUCACCCCCUUUUUCCAUAUUUUGACUAAUUUGACAUCCCCCGAAGCCCCGGUGUCACUUUUAACACCCGAAACACGCCCCGAAGUGCCGGGAAGCCCGAAAAAUUUAUCUUUUCGGUUUUGAAGCUCUACCUUUUUAGAGUCCGGUUUUUAGCUAAUUCUCCCGGUUUUCAACAAAUAAAGCCAUAUUUGGAGCCGAUAUGCUGCUCAAAUUACUAUUUUAACCCCCGAUUAUUUUAAGGUGAGUUCAAUAUAUAGGAACAAUUGUAUGUUAUGUGUUAUAUGUGCUAUGUGCUUUUCAGUGUUAUUAUUCCGGGUUAUUUUCCCGUGUUAUUUUUAUUCGCUAUUUUUAAUAGCAAAGUUAUACCUUUGACCAUGUGAUCAGUGAAAGGACUUAGAUUCACGAUGGUACUGGUAUGUAGCCUCUGGCCAUGUAGAACAUGUCUCGUAAGAGAAUGACUUCUAUUCUAUGGCAUUGGCAGAAGGUUAGAUAGGACUGGUAUGUAGCCUCUGACCAUGUAGAGCAUGACUCCGUAAGAGAAUGAACUCUAUUCUAUGGUAUUGGCAAAUGGUUAGACAGGGCUUUAAGCCUGAAAUCUACCAAAAUGUUAAUCCGAAGUUGUAUAUCUUCUGUGCCGUUUGGGCCAAAAGCUUUAUUGAUGUAUAUCAAGUAGUGAAAUUGUUAUGUCUCAUUGAUCGUAAAUCUUUGAAUCAAAUCUUGAGUUGAUAUUGAAAGCGUGACAUAUGAUACGCAUAUGCUAUUGUUGUUCUUGUUCCCUUUUGCUUCUGUCAUAUUGGUAUAUAUAAGGCAUAAGAUUAUAUUGUAUCUAUUUAUUGAAUUCACUAAGCGUUAUCGCUUAUCCCUCUCAAUGUUUAACAAUUGCAGGUGAUGAGUAUCCAAUUUAGUUUUAUACUGCUGAAAGAUUUAGAAUAGUUAAUACUAUUUCUCUGUAUUCUAAUGUUCAAGUAUGUAUAUGAAUAAUAGAUUCCUGGGUAGAUAUGAAAUGUAAUAAAACUUAGUCGGUUUGUAUCCAAUCUUUUGUAAUCACUUUAUCAAUAUAAAAUAUUGUUUUAUAAAUAUGCAUGUAGCAUGUUUUGAGGAAGUAACUUAAGAAUAAUGUUGAAAUAAUAUGAAAGUUUGGGUCUUUCAUAAAUACGAAAGUUGGGGUCUUUCAAUCAUGGUAUCAGAGCAAUGGUUUAAGUGAACUAAAUAUCACGGAUUGGUAUUUAGACUUAAACUGUUGGAAGCUCAAUAUAUGAGCUGAUUCAUAAUAAGUAUAUGGAUACAAACCAUAGGAAAUAUUUAAGUGGGGGAUUGGGUAGUGAUAAACCCUAGUAUUCUAAGAUAUUAAGUUACUUCAGAAUUUUAAGAAAAUUAGUUUAAGUGAACUAGAAAUUUUGAGAAUUUCUAAACUUAAACAAGAAUUGUUAAGUGAAGAUGAUACGAUAUGUAUCUGGUAUAUUUUAGGUUGAAUACCUAAUGGAAUCAAGCACUAGAAUAUUAAGAGGAGAUAUGCCUUAUAUUCUAAUAUGUGCUAAAUGAUAAAUGAAUAUAGCAUGCCUUAAGGUGCUUAUCUAUAAUUGCUAUUAUUUGAGAAAGCUUAAGGUCUGUUGCCGACCUUGGUUUAGAAAAUUUUAUGUUCAGAAUUCUAAGAAUUUUCGUAAUAGAAUUUUUCGAAGUGAUAAAGAGACUUAUGAUAGUUGACAUCGAUAAGUUUAUAAAUAAACGAUCGCGAGAUAUCGUAAAAUAAUAAAUAUGAAUUAUUAUCGUAAUAAGUGUAUUAAUGCCAAUAGAGUGGUAAUAUACAUUUAAAGUAUGUUUGAUAUAUAAUAACAUCUUUGGAAGAAAGAUGUGCGUUUGAAACACGUUUGGGCAAGACAAAUGUGUUGGUGCAAAUCCACGAAGUUGUUUCCACCGCUGUUUAGAUUGAAGCAGUGAUUGUUUAGAGAGUCAGAAGAACCGAAGAUGGCGGUCAAUACUUCAAUAGUAUCUCAAUUGAUGUGGUACAAGAUUAGAAGAAUUAAAUGAAGAUCAAAGGAAAGGCUGAUGAAGUUUUUCAGACUUAAUAGGCCAAGACUUUGUGAUGUAGUAAGUAGUUCGAGUAGUAACCCUAUAAAAGAUGUUCAGACUUAGUAUUUAAUAAUACUAAGUGAUGAUUGACUUCUAUCCCAUCCUUAUAGAAGUUCCAUUGUGUGUUAAGCCGACUUUAACAUACAAGAUUGGGAUGGUGAAUUGAGUCAUUUAAUGGUAAAUGGUUAAGCAACUUACUUGUUUAAGUAAGGUAGAAUGCUUAAUUGAAGAAGAAAUACACCCAUAGUAUCGUAUGAGAAGAGAUGUUGUAGUCAGGAAUGACAGAGAACCAAGUUGAAGCUAGUAGAGCUUGCUGAGAUGCAGCUAAGAUGCAGACUUCUUAGGAUAGACUCCUAUGAAGUAGACUUAGGCUUACUCAGAUAUAAGAAUCACGAUUUCAAGGAAGAAUAAUGAAAUGAACAAAUGUGCAUGAUGGUUUGCAUGAGUUAGAAGAUGAUGCAGGUAGUAGAAGACCGUUUGUCUCCAUGCUGCUAGAGUAAAUUUUGGAAUAGUGUGUCUUGUAGAGUAGACACUACUCGAGAAAGAAUUUAUAUGAAGAAAUGGAAGUAAAAUUUCUAUCGACCUAUGGAAAAGUAUUAGGAUAUAUUAAAGCGAGCAUAUGCAUGAGAAGAAUCCUAGAAGGCGAGUAUAGGUAAUCCAAUAUAUGUUUGAUAGAAACGUGAAAACCCUAGUUGAGUCUAGGAGAAACUGUUGUAUGUAUUUGUUUGAACACAUUCAUGUGUGAUAAGUUGCUUUGUGAAAACUUUUGAAUGGUGACUUGGGAACUGCGAGACAAUACUUGGGACGAGUAUGAGUAGGUGUGAAUAGUAGUAGAGGCCUAUACUACUGGAAGCACAGGACUCACACUUGGAUCAGGAAAAAUCACAAGGUUACCAAGAAGCUAGUAAAUGAUUUCGUUUUAUUCAUGUGUGUCGUUACCUUCGUUUCGGUAAUGACUAAGAAGAUAAUUAUCGUUCAAAUCUUAAUGUCAUAAAGAAUCGAGUCCGAUUAGUAUAAAUCCGCGAAAGGAGUUGAUUGGUUCAGAGAACCAUGUCUCAUAUAGUGACGAAACUUCAGUAGGAAUACUGAAGAAGUAAAUGGUCAAGGUAGUCGAUAGAAAUAUAAGGAUCUUCAUUAAAGAAUUGAGCAAUCAUUUGCCAGAGAUAUGACUUGCUAUGUGGUGUUACUGGACACAAGAAAUAUUUCUGCCCUACUCUUACUAGUCAAAUGGCAGGGAGUCAAGUUUCCAUUCAACAAUCAAAGAGUACUCAAACUAAAAAGGAGGAGGUACCAAAAGCUAAAAGAUAUGUAGGUUCGAAAGCACGAAUUAGAGAUACGUGGCGCUAUUCUUUCUAUUCCAAAGCAUCUACGUGUUGAUCAAACUCUUUUUGUUUUCGCUAUUCUAUCAGCUCGAUUUAUUCGAUCUGAUUCUAAUACAAGAGUUUGGAUCGUUAUGUGUCUUGUGCGAGAUAAAAUCAAAGGUCAUUAGAAUAAAACCAUUCGAGUUGCUGUUAUAGCAAAAGUAAAGACCUUAUCAUGGGUUUAGUCUAUAAACCAAGAAGGAGCAGGAGUCUGCAAUGAGAAUUGAGUUUUAACUCAAAGAUUAGGAUCGAAAGCCCAAUAGAGAAUGAUGAGCGGGUGCAGGUUUGAGCACCGCUAGUAAUUAAUAAGUUUGAAGAGUUUGACAAUCGUUUGGCAAACUAAAAGUUAAAUAUCGUACAUUUUAGAUUACUACAAAGGAAGUAAGUUAAAACUCGAAUGUUGUGACUAGUAAUUUUCUCGUAAACUCUAGAUUUACUCAAAUCUUAUUUGAUUUCAAUGCCUCGGAUUCUUUCGUGCCUUAUAAAUUCGCAUAUUCUCUUCAAAUUGCUUAUUACGCAAUUGUCCAAUCAUUUCAUAUAGAUAACAUAGGAAAUAUAUCAUUACUUGCUGAUAAAGCCUAUAAAGUUAGUAUUAUAGGAAUUGAAAGUUAUAAUCUUCCUGCUAACCUAAUUCCUAUCUUUGAUAUUAUUCUCGACAUGGAUUGGUUGUUAAAGAACCACGCAGAGCUCUUGUGCUACAAAGAGAUGAUAUGCAUCCCUAUCGAAAGGGAAGAUUCUAUUUAUGUCUACGGUGAAAAUAAUAAAUUUCUUUCUUAAAAACUCGUAAAUUAUGUCGAAGGGAUAUUCUACUUAUCCGGCUUAUACAGUUAAUACCUUGAAAGAGGAGAAGAAAACUGUGAAUGAUAACCUUUGGAUAAUUGUCGACAAGCUAACUACGAGUGCAUAUUUUCUCGCCAUACGUACAACGGUUCUAAUGGAGACAUAAGCACAAGUUUACUUAGACGAAAUUGUGGCGAGACAUGGUGCGCCACUAAAGAUUUUUUUCCGAUCGUGAUACUCGCUUCACUUCUCACUUUUGGGCGAGUAUGAAGAGUGAAUUGGGAUCUCGAAUUACCCAACACAACUUGUCAUCCUCAGACAAAUGAUCAGAAGAAGAGAGCAAUCCAAAUAGUAGAAAAUAUACUGAAGGUAUAUAAAGUACUAUAUGAGCAUAAAUGUCAUACUCAAAUAUGUUGGCGUAACCUAGGACAGAAGAUCUUUGGAGGAUCUGAAAUGAUUCAAGACAUCAUUGACAAGAUACAAAUUUUUCGAGAAAGAAUGAAAGCGGCCCAGGAUCGACAAAUGCCCUAUGCAGAAAGGAGGAGACGACCCGUAGAAUUCCGGGUGGAUGAUUUAGUAAUACUGAAGUUAUUUCAUGAGAAGGCAUUAUACUGCUUGGAAUUGCCUGAAGAUUUGACAGAUAUUCAUGAAAUGUUUCAUGUGAGCUAUCUGUGUAAAGGUUUAAGCAUAUAUGAUGAAAGGGUUCUAUUAUCAGAGGUGAAACUGGAUAAUAAGUUAAGUAGAAGAGAUCGUAAAUGAAAGAACGACUAAUCUACAUAAUAAAGAUGUAGAGUUGGUGAUUUUCAUAUAGAAACACCGUCGAGGCUCAAAUUAUACUUGGGAAAAGUAAGAAUGAAAUAAGAGUGAAGUAUCCCUAAUUGUUUUAAUCGUUAUGAUUUCGGGGACGAAAUCCUCAAAAGGAGGAGGUAUUUGUAACAUACACGUUCUGAAAUUGUGUAUUGUUAUUAUUAAAAGUGAAUAAAAUUGAGUGUUGAGUUCUAACAGCUAGUUUUUACUAGAAAUGAAGUAAAACUAUGUUUAGAAUCACUCAUAAAAUGUUGGAAGUCUUAUGAGAUUCCAAUUAAUAGCCAAAUCAUGAAAAUUUAGCGAAAAUAUAAAAUUUGAAAUAAGUAAAAUUUUAUUAUUGAAAGUUGUAGAUAAUCUCGUUAGAAACAUUUAGGCGAAAACCUCAUCGAAAUCCGAGUUAUAACGAAGAAGUUAUGACCAAACGAAGAUCCGUGAUAAAUCCGGAAAAUACCUUGUCGCGUAAAAAUUUAGUUUUCGAUAAACUAAUUUUUAGCCUUAGUAAUGUAAAUGAAAGUUGUAGAACUCGUGAAAAUAAUCAACUUUCAUAUAAAGACCGUUUGAAUCUGACUUCGUAUGAGGAAGUUAUGAUUUUUCGAAGUUUCAGCUUAGCAGUAGACAGCUAAAAACUCGAAUUUUAGAUCGAGUGAUUUUUAGCCGACACAACCUAAACGAGAAUUGAAGGUCUCGUCAUUAGUAGUGCAACGGUAAAAAGUCUGACGAAAACGGACGUCGGAUGAAGAAGUUAUGAAUUUUUAACGGAUUUUCCUGUCCCGGUCUGUUAAAAAUAAUAAUAUUAAAAUUAAAGUCAAAAUUAGCCGACGAAGUCUAAACGAAAGUUGUAGAGCAUAAUUCUAGCUUCGCGUGCAUAUAAAGAACGUCAAAAACGGAGCUCGUAUGCGAAAGUUAUGGAUUUUAGAAGUUUUUGCACAUUUUUCGAGAAAAUUCGUAUGAAUAGUGAAAUGCCACGUCACCCUCGUAUGCGAGGCUUCCACGUGUCGGACAGAUGUUCGCUUCUGAUUAGACCGCAGCCUUGCGUGUUGCCUUCUGAUUGGACCAAGCCGAGGACCACUAAGCCCGGAGCACCUUCGCAUGAGACACCCCCUUGAUCACCCUCGCAUGCGAGACCCACGUGCGAGCCACCUGCUGUCCGAGCCGAAGACCGAGCCGAUGACGCGCCUGAAGCUGAUGACUCCUCGCAUCCGAGCCUCGCUGGAGCCCUGCGAAGCUGCCAUCUGGUCCGAACCUCGCAGCCACC